AGUGAACGCUGGCGGUAGGCCUAACACAUGCAAGUCGAACGGCAGCACAGUAAGAGCUUGCUCUUACGGGUGGCGAGUGGCGGACGGGUGAGGAAUACAUCGGAAUCUACUUUUUCGUGGGGGAUAACGUAGGGAAACUUACGCUAAUACCGCAUACGACCUACGGGUGAAAGCAGGGGAUCUUCGGACCUUGCGCGAUUGAAUGAGCCGAUGUCGGAUUAGCUAGUUGGCGGGGUAAAGGCCCACCAAGGCGACGAUCCGUAGCUGGUCUGAGAGGAUGAUCAGCCGCACUGGAACGGGGACACGGUCCAGACUCCUACGGGAGGCAGCAGUGGGGAAUAUUGGACAAUGGGCGCAAGCCUGAUCCAGCCAUACCGCGUGGGUGAAGAAGGCCUUCGGGUUGUAAAGCCCUUUUGUUGGGAAAGAAAAGCAGCAGGUUAAUACCCCGCUGUUCUGACGGUACCCAAAGAAUAAGCACCGGCUAACUUCGUG
Molecule: ribosomal RNA, 492 nt
Filed under: uncultured bacterium
Lineage: Bacteria
Description: partial 16S ribosomal RNA
Rfam family: Bacterial small subunit ribosomal RNA
Source: RNAcentral